This 497-nucleotide ribosomal RNA is filed under the name uncultured bacterium. RNAcentral describes it as "partial 16S ribosomal RNA". It matches the Rfam family "Bacterial small subunit ribosomal RNA", at positions 28 to 507 of the family's 1533-position model. The record is from RNAcentral.
GAUGAACGCUGGCGGCGUGCCUAAUACAUGCAAGUCGAGCGAACAGAUAAGGAGCUUGCUCCUUUGACGUUAGCGGCGGACGGGUGAGUAACACGUGGGUAACCUACCUAUAAGACUGGGAUAACUUCGGGAAACCGGAGCUAAUACCGGAUAACAUUUGGAACCGCAUGGUUCUAAAGUGAAAGAUGGUUUUGCUAUCACUUAUAGAUGGACCCGCGCCGUAUUAGCUAGUUGGUAAGGUAACGGCUUACCAAGGCGACGAUACGUAGCCGACCUGAGAGGGUGAUCGGCCACCCUGGAACUGAGACACGGUCCAGACUCCUACGGGAGGCAGCAGUAGGGAAUCUUCCGCAAUAGGCGAAAGCCUGACGGAGCAACGCCGCGUGAGUGAUGAAGGGUUUCGGCUCGUAAAACUCUGUUAUUAGGGAAGAACAAAUGUGUAAGUAACUGUGCACGUCUUGACGGUACCUAAUCAGAAAGCCACGGCUAACUACGUG